UACGUAGGGUGCGAGCGUUGUCCGGAAUUAUUGGGCGUAAAGAGCUUGUAGGCGGUUUGUCGCGUCUGCCGUGAAAAUUCGAGGCUCAACCUCGAACUUGCGGUGGGUACGGGCAGACUAGAGUGUGGUAGGGGAGACUGGAAUUCCUGGUGUAGCGGUGGAAUGCGCAGAUAUCAGGAGGAACACCGAUGGCGAAGGCAGAUCUCUGGGCCGUAACUGACGCUGAGGAGCGAAAGCGUGGGGAGCGAACAGGA
RNAcentral lists this ribosomal RNA (254 nucleotides) under uncultured bacterium. RNAcentral's name for it is "partial 16S ribosomal RNA". It matches the Rfam family "Bacterial small subunit ribosomal RNA", at positions 524 to 777 of the family's 1533-position model. The record is from RNAcentral.